UGCGUUGACUCCAAUUGAACCGCAGGCUUCACCCCUUGUGGUGCUCCCCCGCCAAUUCCUUUAGUUCAUACUUGCGUACGUACUUCCCAGGCGGCAGACUUAACGGCUUCCCUGCGGCACUGCAUUGGCCACAAGCCAAUGCAUCACCGAGUCUGCAUCGUUUACAGCUGGGACUACCCGGGUAUCUAAUCCGGUUUGCUCCCCCAGCUUUCAUCCCUCACCGUCGAACGUGUUCUGGUACACCGCCUUCGCCACAGGUGGUCUUCAAUAGAUCAAAGGAUUUUACCCCUUCCUAUCGAGUACCGUGUACCUCUCCCACUCCCUAGCUGCACAGUAUUUUCGGCGGCCUAUACGUUAAGCGCAUAGAUUUAACCGAAAACUUAUGCAACCGGCUACGGAUGCUUUAGGCCCAAUAAACCUCCUGACCACUCGAGGUGCUGGUUUUACCGCGGCGGCUGACACCAGAACUUGCCCACCCCUUAUUCACCAGUGAUUCUACAACUGACAAAAGACUCCUUUAGCAGGAGACACUCGGAUUAACCUUGUCGUGCUUUCGCACAUUGCAAAGGUUUCUCGCCUGCUGCGCCCCAUAGGGCCUGGGUCCGUGUCUCAGUACCCAUCUCCNGGGCCCUCCUCUCAGAGCCCGUACC
This 650-nucleotide ribosomal RNA is filed under the name uncultured archaeon. Its description in RNAcentral is "partial 16S ribosomal RNA". The record is from RNAcentral.